Molecule: long non-coding RNA, 797 nt
Organism: Helianthus annuus (common sunflower)
Lineage: Eukaryota; Viridiplantae; Streptophyta; Magnoliopsida; Asterales; Asteraceae
Exons: 2
Source: RefSeq, a predicted model, not a curated record
UGGGGAUUUCGGCAGAAGACCACACAUUACGGCCUCGGCGGUUUUUCUGUACUUUUUGAGGCUUGCAUCUGUAGCAGCUUUUGAAUCGAAGAAGCUUACCCUUGACAAAAGAACCUGCACAGUUUAUUAGCCGAUUGGGUUACAGGCCAAAAACAGAGCAAUCUUCAAAGCAUCACCAUACUUCUGCGCAACGGGUCCCGGAGGCCCGGGAACCGGAGAAUCACCGUCGUCAUCGUGAUGGAACUUGUUCCUCAAUGUAAACCCUAAGGCUAAGGCGAUUGCUCCUACUACAAUUAAGACGAUAAACCAGCCCAUACAUCCUCCAGAUUUCUUCUCCUCUCCCAUUUUGCCCUAAAUUCUCUCAGAUCUGACGAAAAGUCAACAAUGUAAUACGAUCAGUAGGGUUUUAGGUUAAUUUGAAAGGAGUAGGGUUUAGAUUUGACGAACCUGAAGUGAAUUGGUGGAUGAUGAUGAUGUAUGGAUCUGAAGAUCUGGAGAGGAUUGAAGAUAAUGUGGUGAAUGAGAGAGAGGUUUUGAAGGUGUUUGGUGGUUGUGUGAGUGAGUUGCAGGAAAGAAGAAAGAUGCUGAAAUAGAAAUGUGCACCGACAAAUGGCGCGAGGGUGGGUUUGGAUUUUACUGUGUCGGUUUGGUGGUUGAUGAAGAUGAUGAUUGGAUCUUGGUUUGGUUGCACCAUUGCUUUCGCCACCAUUUUACUAAACCCAACAUGUUGGCCCAUUACCAUCUUUCCAAAACCUUUUGAGGACGACACAAAUAUAAAUGUAUUAGAGCAUUCACAU